UGGGGAAUCUUGCGCAAUGGGCGCAAGCCUGAUCCAGCCAUGCCGCGUGGAUGAUGAAGGCCUUAGGGUUGUAAAAUCCUUUUCGUUGGGGACGAUAAUGACGGUACCCAAAGAAGAAGCUCCGGCUAACUUCGUGCCAGCAGCCGCGGUAAUACGAAGGGGGCUAGCGUUGUUCGGAUUUACUGGGCGUAAAGCGCGUGUAGGCGGAUUUGUAAGUUGGGGGUGAAAUCCCGAGGCUCAACCUCGGAACUGCCUUUGAUACUGGCAAUCUAGAGUCCGGAAGAGGUUAGUGGAAUUCCCAGUGUAGAGGUGAAAUUCGUAGAUAUUGGGAAGAACACCAGUGGCGAAGGCGGCUAACUGGUCCGGUACUGACGCUGAGGUGCGAAAGCGUGGGGAGCAAACAGGAUUAGAUACCCGGGUAGUCCCUGAGCGGGCUGGCAAGGCGCAU
This 448-nucleotide ribosomal RNA is filed under the name uncultured bacterium. RNAcentral's name for it is "bacterial SSU rRNA". It matches the Rfam family "Bacterial small subunit ribosomal RNA", at positions 355 to 825 of the family's 1533-position model. The record is from RNAcentral.